RNAcentral lists this transfer RNA (68 nucleotides) under Ictidomys tridecemlineatus (thirteen-lined ground squirrel). Its description in RNAcentral is "Spermophilus tridecemlineatus (thirteen-lined ground squirrel) tRNA". It matches the Rfam family "tRNA". Rfam says of the family: Transfer RNA (tRNA) molecules are approximately 80 nucleotides in length. Their secondary structure includes four short double-helical elements and three loops (D, anti-codon, and T loops). Lineage: Eukaryota; Metazoa; Chordata; Mammalia; Rodentia; Sciuridae. The record is from Rfam by way of RNAcentral.
GUUAUGGUUAAGUGGUAGAGCACUUGGUUAGUAUACAAGAGGCCCUGGGUUUGAUCCCCAGCAAAACA